AAAGAUUUAGUUAAAUUUCAUAACAUUAAUUUGUCAAAUUAAAAUAAUUAAUUCCUCUAAUAAUCUUUA
RNAcentral lists this transfer RNA (69 nucleotides) under Cheumatopsyche sp. XG-2022. RNAcentral describes it as "tRNA-Asp". Lineage: Eukaryota; Metazoa; Arthropoda; Insecta; Trichoptera; Hydropsychidae. The record is from RNAcentral.